UACGGAGGGGACUAGCGUUGUUCGGAAUUACUGGGCGUAAAGCGCACGUAGGCGGAUUUGUAAGUCAGGGGUGAAAUCCCGGGGCUCAACCUCGGAACUGCCUUUGAUACUGCAAAUCUCGAGUCCGGAAGAGGUGAGUGGAAUUCCUGGUGUAGCGGUGAAAUGCGCAGAUAUCAGGAGGAACACCGAUGGCGAAGGCAGCUCGCUGGGACGGUACUGACGCUGAGACGCGAAAGCGUGGGGAGCGAACAGG
RNAcentral lists this ribosomal RNA (253 nucleotides) under uncultured bacterium. RNAcentral's name for it is "partial 16S ribosomal RNA". It matches the Rfam family "Bacterial small subunit ribosomal RNA", at positions 524 to 776 of the family's 1533-position model. The record is from RNAcentral.